This 372-nucleotide ribosomal RNA is filed under the name uncultured organism. RNAcentral's name for it is "bacterial SSU rRNA". It matches the Rfam family "Bacterial small subunit ribosomal RNA", at positions 526 to 896 of the family's 1533-position model. The record is from RNAcentral.
CAGAGGGUGCAAGCGUUAAUCGGAAUUACUGGGCGUAAAGCGCAUGUAGGUGGUUUGGCAAGUUGGAUGUGAAAGCCCUGGGCUUAACCUGGGAACUGCAUUCAAUACUACCAAGCUAGAGUAGAGUAGAGGGAAGUGGAAUUUCCGGUGUAGCGGUGAAAUGCGUAGAUAUCGGAAGGAACACCAGUGGCGAAGGCGGCUUCCUGGACUCAUACUGACACUGAGGUGCGAAAGCGUGGGGAGCAAACAGGAUCAGAUACCCUGGUAGUCCACGCUGUAAACGAUGAGAACUAGAUGUUGGAAGGGUCAACCUUUUAGUAUCGAAGCUAACGCGUUAAGUUCUCCGCCUGGGGAGUACCGGCCGCAAGGUUA